This 228-nucleotide ribosomal RNA is filed under the name uncultured bacterium. Its description in RNAcentral is "partial 16S ribosomal RNA". It matches the Rfam family "Bacterial small subunit ribosomal RNA", at positions 103 to 334 of the family's 1533-position model. The record is from RNAcentral.
CGGGUGGGUAAUACAUCGGAACGUGCCCGAGAGUGGGGGAUAACGAAGCGAAAGCUUUGCUAAUACCGCAUACGAUCUCAGGAUGAAAGCAGGGGACCGCAAGGCCUUGCGCUCACGGAGCGGCCGAUGGCAGAUUAGGUAGUUGGUGGGAUAAAAGCUUACCAAGCCGACGAUCUGUAGCUGGUCUGAGAGGACGACCAGCCACACUGGGACUGAGACACGGCCCAG